GUAGGGUGCAAGCGUUAUCCGGAAUCAUUGGGCGUAAAGAGCUCGUAGGCGGUUCAGCAAGUCGGCUGUGAAAUCCCGAGGCUUAACCUCGGAACUGCAGUCGAUACUGCUGUGACUAGAGUCCGGUAGAGGAGAAUGGAAUUCCCGGUGUAGCGGUGAAAUGCGCAGAUAUCGGGAGGAACACCAGUAGCGAAGGCGGUUCUCUGGGCCGGUACUGACGCUGAGGAGCGAAAGCGUGGGGGUAGCAAACAGGAUUAGAUACCCUGGUAGUCCACGCCGUAAACGUUGGACACUAGGUGUGGCGUUCCGACCAACGGGUGCCGUGCCGAAGCUAACGCAUUAAGUGCCCCCGCCUGGGGUACGGCCGCAAGGCUA
Molecule: ribosomal RNA, 375 nt
Filed under: uncultured organism
Description: partial 16S ribosomal RNA
Rfam family: Bacterial small subunit ribosomal RNA
Source: RNAcentral